This 448-nucleotide ribosomal RNA is filed under the name uncultured prokaryote. RNAcentral describes it as "bacterial SSU rRNA". It matches the Rfam family "Bacterial small subunit ribosomal RNA", at positions 355 to 796 of the family's 1533-position model. The record is from RNAcentral.
UCGAGAAUCUUCCGCAAUGGGCGAAAGCCUGACGGAGCGACGCCGCGUGCAGGAUGAAGGCCCUCGGGUUGUAAACUGCUGUCAUCUGUUAAGAAUGGUCCGUCGUCAAUAGCGGCGGAUUUGACAAAAGCAGAAGAGGAAGUCACGGCUAACUUCGUGCCAGCAGCCGCGGUAAUACGAAGGUGGCAAGCGUUGCUCGGAAUUACUGGGCAUAAAGAGCGCGUAGGUGGCGCGUUAAGUCGGUGGUGAAAUCCUAUGGCUCACCCAUAGAACUGCCAUCGAUACUGGCGUGCUUGAGGGCAGGAGGGGAAAGUGGAACUCCAGGUGUAGCGGUGAAAUGCGUAGAUAUCUGGAGGAACGCCGGUGGCGAAAGCGACUUUCUGGACUGUACCUGACACUGAGGCGCGAAAGCUAGGGGAGCAAACAGGAUUAGAUACCCCCGUAGUCC